This 2327-nucleotide long non-coding RNA is filed under the name Meleagris gallopavo (turkey). RNAcentral's name for it is "lncRNA (ENSMGAG00000020448.1)". Lineage: Eukaryota; Metazoa; Chordata; Aves; Galliformes; Phasianidae. The record is from RNAcentral.
AGACCUAUCCCCGCCGUUCCCAUAUGUCCUGUGGGGUCUUCAUCCCAUAUGGACCUGACCCCACUGAGCCACUUGGGGUCCUGAUCCCAUAGAGACCCAUCCCUGCCGUUCCCUUUCAGCCUUGGGGUCCUGAUCCCAUAGGAUCCCAUCCCCACUGUGGAUGUUUUCCCUUUGGGGUCUCAAUCCCGUGGAGACCCACCCCCACCGUUCCCAUAUGUCCUGUGGGGUCUUCAUCCCAUAUGGACCUGACCCCAUUGAGCCCUUUGGGGUCCUGAUCCCAUGGAGACCCAUCCCCGCUGUUCCCAUAUGUCCUGUGGGGUCUUCAUCCCAUAUGGACCUGACCCCACUGAGCCACUUGGGGUCUCAAUCCCAUGGAGACCCAUCCCCGCUGUUCCCAUAUGUCCUGUGGGGUCUCAAUCCCAUAGAGACCCAUCCCUGUCAUCCCAUUUGCCCCAUGGGGUCCUGAUCUCAUAGGAUCCCAUCCCCACUGUGGAUGUUUUCCCUUUGGGGUCUCGAUCCCAUGGAGACCCAUCCCUGCCAUUCCCAUAUGUCCUGUGGGGUCUCAAUCCCAUAUGGACCUGACCCCAUUGAGCCCUUUGGGGUCCUGAUCCCAUAGAGACCCACCCCUGCCGUUCCCUUACAGCUUUGGGGUCCUGAUCCCAUAGGAUCCCAUCCCCACUGGGGUCGGUGCCCUUUGGGGUCUCAGUCCCAUGGGGUCCCCCCCCACCGUCCCCAUUCACCCCGUGGGCUCACAGGAUCCCAUCCCACUGCAGAUGUGAUGUGCGUCCUUUGGGGUCCUGGUCCCAGGACGUCCAUCCGUGUGUCCCCAAGGUGUCCGUGUGUCCCACAUGUCCCUGUCCCCAUGAUGCCCACGUGUCCCAUGUCAUCCUGUCCCAAGGUGUCCAUGUGUCCCACACAGCUUUGUCCCCAAGGUGUCCGUGUGUCCUCUGUGUCCCUGUCCCCAAGGUGUCCCUCUAUGGGUCCCACACUGCCUUGUCCCCAAGGUGUCCGUGUGUCCUCUGUGUCCCUGUCCCCAAGGUGUCCCUCUAUGGGUCCCAAUACUGCCUUGUCCCCAAGGUGUCUGUGUGUCCCUGUCCCCAGGACGUCCAUCCAUGUCCCCAAUGUGUCCCCAUCCCCGAGACGUCCGUCCGUGUGUCCCACAUGCUCCUGUCCCCAGGGUGUCCGUGUGUCCCACACAGCUUUGUCCCCAAGGUGUCCAUCCAUGUGCCCUACGUGUCCCAUGUCAUCCUGUCCCCAGGAUGCCAUCCAUGUGUCCCUGUGUCCCUGUCCCCAAGAUGUCCUUUUAUGGGUCCCACACUACCUUGUCCCCAAGGUGUCUGUGUGUCCCCGUCCCCAAGAUGCCCAUAGGUGUCCACACAGCUUUGUCCCCAGGAUGCCAUCCAGUGUCCCCCGUGUCCCUGUCCCCACGCUGUCCUUUUAUGGGUCCCAUGUGCUUUUGUCCCCAACAUGUCCGUGUGUCAGGAUGUCCGUCCGUGUGUCCCACACAGCUUUGUCCCCAAGCUGUCCAUCCCAGUACCCACAUGGUGGCCCCACGGUGCCCACGCCCAGGUAAUCAGACACAAAACCCCCCAAAACCCCCACAAACCCAUCAUCUCUGAGAAAACCUCUUUAAAUACAGCAGCACAGAAAAGGGCCGUGGGGGCAGCGGCGUCAGCACUGCGCCGCGUCCUCAAAGCUGGGGUUGGCGAAGGCUGCGCCCCACACCGCGCCGGCCUUGGUGCCCUCCGUGCCACCGGGUUUGGUGUCACCAACGUCAACUGUGGUGCCCUCUGUGCCAAACCUGGUGCCCCCCGUGCCAAAUCCAGUGCCCCCUGUGCCGGAUCUGGUGUCUUCAGUACCGGAUCUGGUGCCCUCCACGUCAUCUUUGAUGCCCUCCAUGCCAUCUUUGGUGCCCUCCACGCUGAGCGGUGCGGGACCUGCGGGCGCAGCGGGACGGGGUCACCCCCAGAUGGUGGGACGGGGGACCCUUGGGGUGGGGGGGGCGGGGGGGGGGUCCGGGGUCCGCACCCAUGUAGCUGAGCAGGACGGGCAGGAAGACGAGGCCGUGAGCGAGGCCCACCAGCGUGAUGAUGAAAUUGAGACGGAAGAAGAAGAUCUGGAUGAGCUGCGCUUUGGCGAAGGCCAAAACCACGACGCCCGGCAGGUUGGUCAUGGCCACCCCGGCCACCACCUGGCAUCGGGGACACGUGGGGUGAGGCGUGGGGCGAGGCGUGGGGCGAGGUUCGGGGUGACCCACGCGUCCCCGCGCCCCACACCUUGCUGCCCAUGUUGAUGGUGGCCUCGGCCGCGCGCUCCACGCGGGUGGG